AAUGGACGAAAGUCUGACCGAGCGACGCCGCGUGCGGGAUGAAGGCCUUCGGGUUGUAAACCGCUGUCAGAGGGGAGCAAAUUUUGAGCAAUCCUCAGAGGAAGCACAGGCUAAGUUCGUGCCAGCAGCCGCGGUAAUACGAACUGUGCAAACGUUAUUCGGAAUCACUGGGCUUAAAGGGUGCGUAGGCGGCUAUGUAGGUCUGAUGUGAAAUCCCACGGCUCAACCGUGGAACUGCGUUGGAAACCAUGUAGCUUGAGGGAGACAGAGGAAAGCGGAACUGAUGGUGGAGCGGUGAAAUGCGCUGAGAUCAUCAGGAACACCGGUGGUGAAAGCGGCUUUCUGGGUCUCUUCUGACGCUGAGGCACGAAAGCUAGGGGAGCGAACGGGAUU
RNAcentral lists this ribosomal RNA (393 nucleotides) under uncultured Gammaproteobacteria bacterium. Its description in RNAcentral is "bacterial SSU rRNA". It matches the Rfam family "Bacterial small subunit ribosomal RNA", at positions 370 to 779 of the family's 1533-position model. Lineage: Bacteria; Pseudomonadati; Pseudomonadota; Gammaproteobacteria. The record is from RNAcentral.